CCUACGGGAGGCAGCAGUGGGGAAUAUUGCACAAUGGGCGCAAGCCUGAUGCAGCGACGCCGCGUGCGGGAUGGAGGCCUUCGGGUUGUAAACCGCUUUUGUUCAAGGGCAAGGCACGGUCUUUGGCCGUGUUGAGUGGCUUGUUCGAAUAAGCCCCGGCUAACUACGUGCCAGCAGCCGCGGUAAUACGUAGGGUGCAAGCGUUAUCCGGAUUUAUUGGGCGUAAAGGGCGCGUAGGCGGUUCGUCGCGUCCGAUGUGAAAGUCCAUCGCUUAACGGUGGAUCUGCGCCGGGUACGGGCGGGCUUGAGGGCGGUAGAGGAGACUGGAAUUCCCGGUGUAGCGGUGGAAUGUGUAGAUAUCGGGAAGAAAACCAGUGGCGAAGGCAGGUCGCUGGGCAGUUACUGACGCUGAGGAGCGAAAGCGUGGGGAGCGAACAGGAUUAGAUACCCGUGUAGUC
Molecule: ribosomal RNA, 458 nt
Filed under: uncultured bacterium
Lineage: Bacteria
Description: partial 16S ribosomal RNA
Rfam family: Bacterial small subunit ribosomal RNA
Source: RNAcentral